Molecule: transfer RNA, 74 nt
Filed under: Penicillium nalgiovense
Lineage: Eukaryota; Fungi; Ascomycota; Eurotiomycetes; Eurotiales; Aspergillaceae
Description: tRNA-Ala
Rfam family: tRNA
About the family: Transfer RNA (tRNA) molecules are approximately 80 nucleotides in length. Their secondary structure includes four short double-helical elements and three loops (D, anti-codon, and T loops).
Source: RNAcentral
UGGGCAUGUAACUCAGUGGGAGAGUGCUCGCUUUGCAUGCGAGAAGUCCGGCGUUCAAUCCGCCGCUUGUCCAC